Molecule: ribosomal RNA, 301 nt
Filed under: uncultured bacterium
Lineage: Bacteria
Description: partial 16S ribosomal RNA
Rfam family: Bacterial small subunit ribosomal RNA
Source: RNAcentral
CAGCCGCCGCGGGAAUACGUAGGUGGCAAGCGUUGUCCGGAAUUAUUGGGCGUAAAGGGCUCGCAGGCGGUUUCUUAAGUCUGAUGUGAAAGCCCCCGGCUCAACCGGGAAGGGUCAUUGGAAACUGGGAAACUUGAGUGCAGAAGAGGAGAGUGGAAUUCCACGUGUAGCGGUGAAAUGCGUAGAGAUGUGGAGGAACACCAGUGGCGAAGGCGACUCUCUGGUCUGUAACUGACGCUGAGGAGCGAAAGCGUGGGGAGCGAACAGGAUUAGAUACCCCAGUAGUCCCUGUCUCUUAUAC